CUGACGCAUGUUUACAUUAUGACGUCGUGCUAUUGCUUUUUGCACAACGACCCCAUUGUUAUAUUUAAAAAAUGUUAUAAAUCAAGAGGAAAUUGUAGAGAGGGAAUUGAGAUGGAGAGGAUGAAUAGAAGAGAAUGUUUGCUCUCUAUUAUGUCUGUAUUCAGUAGGGAAGGGGGGGAAGCCUUUUAUAGGCAUUUGGGGACUCCACCUACUUUAUUUUACAACACUCCCCCUUGGAGACCAUAAAUGAUACAGAAUAUGUCUCGUUAAAAACCUUGCCAGUAAAAACCCAGUGGGACAAAAACUGGUCAAAGGAAAAAAGAGUACAUAACCAUGUGUAACAUAAAAUUCUAUGUAUAUUGACGCGCG
RNAcentral lists this long non-coding RNA (369 nucleotides) under Prunus persica (peach). RNAcentral describes it as "long non-coding RNA (PPER_LNC001608)". The record is from RNAcentral. Lineage: Eukaryota; Viridiplantae; Streptophyta; Magnoliopsida; Rosales; Rosaceae.